UGUAAACAGACCCUCGGCACACCAGGAUCAAACUACUCUUCUCGUCUCAUCCACAAGGUGAUGCGGUGCAUCGUGAACCUUUGAUUUGUCCAGGGGUGCAGAAAGCGAAAUAAUAUGGCUGGUGGUGAACAGUUAAGUCGUCACAAUGCUACAAUCCUCGAUGACCUAGACAAGGGGGAUAUGGUGGAAUUCCCACGUCCAUUAUAUUCUCACUGGGGUGUUUAUAUAGGUGAUGACAAAAUUGUACAUUUAUCUGGAGCUGACGAUGCCGACAGCAGUGACGCCUUCACAUCGGGCAGCCUCUUUUCCAUUGGUGGAAUGUGUUUUAACAAAGCCUUUGUGAGGAUUGAUGACUUUCGGCAGGUUGCCAUGGGAUGUAAAGCCAAAAUAAACAACAAAAAGGACCGCCAUUCCACGCAGAAUCUACCGGUUAGGAUGUCGUCUAACUUCGUGUGCUUUUCCUUGUUUCUAUAAAGUAUGGAUGGAAUGAUGGACAAAGAAAGGCCACUACAAGCAGAUGAUAUUGUCAGGAGAGCCUACGAAAUGGUUGGAGAAAUCGGCUACAAUGUCCUGUGGAAUAACUGUGAACACUUUGCAUCCUUCCUAAGAUACAACAAAAAGCAAUCAAAGCAGGCUGAUACUGCUUUGAAAACGAGUGCGACAUUAGGUGGAGUAGCGGCCCUUGGAAUUGGUGCCAUGGUUUAUAAGAAACACCGUAAGAAAGAGAAAGAAGCGAGGUCAGCAAACCGUUAACAUAGACAAUAGAUACACAUUGAAAUUGAUAUCCAGACUUCUGACCUGCUAUAGGAUUAGCGUUUCAAUGGUGUGCUACAUUGUAUAUAACAUAGACAAUAGAUACACAUUGAAAUUGAUAUCCAGACUUCUAACCUGCUAUAGGAUUAACGUUUUAAUGGUGUGCUACAUUAUAUAUAACAUAGACAAUAGAUACACAUGGAAAUUGAUAUCCAGACUUCUAACCUGCUAUAGGAUUAGCGUUUCAAUGGUGUGCUACAUUGUAUAUAACAUAGACAAUAGAUACACAUUGAAAUUGAUAUCCAGACUUCUGACCUGGUAUAGGAUUAGCGUUUUAAUGGUGUGCUACAUUGUAUAAAACAUUGACAUUUUCUUGACAGCAGUUUAAUGCCGAUUUACCAUUGUAAUGUGAUUCAAGUUGGAACUAUAUUUACGCUUUUGAGCAUGAAUUAAAACUGUAGCCGGACAAAGGAACAAUUCAAUUACAUCCUAGAGUUUCUGAGUACGUAAAUGGUACCUAUAUCUUGAUCUACCUGAGUUAGACUAAUGAUUAACUUACUAAGUAAGUCAUUAUAAGGGUUUAAAUCUAGAACAAAAGUCAUUAGCCAUUUAGCACGAGUUGUGAUUAUUUCAUUCAAUUUUUUCAAGAAAACAGAGAAUAUCAGUAGUAACAUAUCCCUCAACUCGAUAUCGACAACAUAUGAACAUGAAAUAACCCACAAUUACCCCUUUUUCUUCUCCCUUGUUUUUUUCUUUACCUCUUAUGUUUUUGUUGAAACCGUUUUUCUGAAGAUUAACACUUAUAUACAUUCUGUAUAUCGGGUUCCUCGACUUCAGUUUCUUCUUUGUUUACUAUAGUGUUCCCUUCAAGUAUGCGUAACAACAAAUCUGGACAGAAAUUAUGUUUUCCAUCUAUAUACUCCAUCCUACAUUUGUAACAUAAAAUUAUUUUAAGGGUGUGCGAUUUGUCUUAAUGAUACCAUUGGCAUUAUAUAUUGAUCUUAUAUUAGCAAUGAAUAUUGGAUUGCAAAUGCUUUCUUUUUUAUAACAGACCUUUUUAUUUGUUUAUGACUGAUAUUACAGAUAAUGACAGGGCAUUUCUACAUCAUCUUCUGUCAUCUAAGUAAGACAUGCUCCAAUACAGGUAUCACUGACAUAGGUGUAAAAGGUGUAAGGUUUAUUGGUAUCCGGGUAGGCCAGUACUGGUACCACGGCCAAGCUUUCCUUAAUGAAAUCAAACCCCUUUUUGACAUUCGACCGUCCAGUAAAACCUUGCAAACUUUGUUGUAAGUGUGAUCAAAGGUUCAGCUGUUUGGGCUACUGCGAGCCUUUAUAAGACAUAACAACUACUUUAUUAUUUAGUCUUCAUGAGACUUACAGGUUUAUGUCUUCGUCUAGCGACACAUACGUUUGCCCACCUUAAGACAACUUAACUAAACAUAUUCUAAAACAAAUUUUGGUGAAGCCAAUUUCUCCCUUUAGUUCAUUUCCUGUCCAUGCCAUUGCCAACAACACAUUUCUUUGUCUAUAUUUGACCUUUCAUCUGAAAUGUUAUCUCAGUACAAUCUUAUACGGAGAGAUCAUUUUCGUUUACGGCCUCUAAGUGGUUUUUUUUUAAUGAGUUUAGGUUUCGCGGGUAGUUUGUUAAAUAAGCUUUCUUUUAUGAAACUAACCUCUGUCCAAAAGUCAACAAGACUACGACAUUUUUGUUUUUGUGUACGGACGUUAUGUGUGUUCGUCAACUCCUUUCACCGGCUUCCUUGUUGGAGGGGUGUUUUAGUUUAAAGAUUGCAAAGGGGGAUAGUUUCAUCUAUAUAUUUUGUUACAGUACCAACAUACGGCACCAGUUGUGGGGUGAGAUUGUAUGGCGGACAUCUGUUUUCCCCCUCAUAGCUCCCCUACAUUUCCGAGCGAGAUGUCUCUGUUUACCGCAAUGAUAACAGGUCCUCUGAGGUCGCAUGGGUCCUAGUUAACAAUGAUAACAGGUCCUCAGAGGUCGCAUGGGUCCUAGUUAACAAUGAUAACAAGUCAUCAGAGGUCGCAUGGGUCCUAGUUAACAAUGAUAACAGGUCCUCAGAGGUCGCAUGGGUCCUAGUCUCUUCCAAAUACUUUGUUGCGUCAUUGCUAUCUGUACCGCCGGUUCUAAUGUUGUUGGUUCCUCCUCAAAACUUUCGUUUUAAGACAAUCAAUUCUUAACCCAUCAAAGAACGAGUUCUCAAGCUGUUGUUGGAUUAUAUUUUGAUUUCCAUUAUUGGCCUGCGGAUAAGCAUUCUCUGCCAAUUGAAGUAACCUUUCAAAAAUAUCUGUACACUCUCAGAUUAUGUUUGUUUGUUUUUUCUAUUCAAAGCAAAUGCCUGUUGCACAUCGUUUAUAUCACCAAUCCUACGUUUUAUAAGUACUUUCAAAUCCAUCUAACUUGCUGCCUUGUUUGCUCUCACUGUCUCUUUAAAAUAGCACUAAAAUAUCCAUUUACGUGCCUGUAUUCUUUUCCUGAUAGUUUCUAUUGUUUAUUAUAAUUUAUAUCCCGUGUAUUUAUCUUUUUUUCUUUGUUUUAUAAGGACAACAGACAAUAUCAGUAGUAAGAUAUACCUCAUCUCAAUAUCUGUCGCUUAUGUAAACAGUCACUGCGAACGUCUGUCAUCGUAUUACAAAACUAACGUUAACAUUACAUGAAGUAUUAAACGCAUACUCAUUUCCUUAACAAUCCUUUUUACUAAUAUUCUGCAAUCCAAGAUGUGCUCACAAUAUCUGACAAUAUCCAACGACAUAAUAUAAAGUGUUCUCCCGUUCAUUUUUUUAACUCUAUUAAGGUAUAUUGUGAGAGUUUGUUGUUGUUAUUUUACGUUUUAUAAGUGAAUGUGGUAUUAAUGUAUGUCUGAAUAGAGCAAUAUAAAGUGAUUGAGAGAGUACAUAGAUGCUACUGUUGUAUGGGACAGGAUUUUGUUUGAUAAGUACACGUUUCAAAUUUUCAGUCUUUCGUCUUCCCAUUAAAAUGCAUUUCAUAUUGAAAAAUGUCCAUGAAAUUCAAAGAUAGAUGAAACUAGGAACAAAUACGGCAUCCGUAUCUCAAUCUGGGUCAAAUCCAUAUGCCAUGUUGUCAAAGAGGGAUAUUAAUAUGGUACAAGGAAAUAAAAAAUAUCCAAAUGA
Molecule: unclassified non-coding RNA, 3900 nt
Filed under: Mizuhopecten yessoensis (Yesso scallop)
Lineage: Eukaryota; Metazoa; Mollusca; Bivalvia; Pectinida; Pectinidae
Description: hRAS-like suppressor 3, transcript variant X1
Source: RNAcentral